GGGCAGCACCCCCUUUUUGCUGCCUUUCCAGGGACAGCAGCAAGAGAAAGAAAGAGAGAGGCAAGCGAAAUUCCUGAAUGGAUAGACAGAUGCUACGUCAUCGGAGCUGCAUCCUCCACUCCACAAGAGGCUAGGAGCUGGGGGGAGAGAGGCAGUCCAGCCGCAGGGGCCACCCGAACAGUCUCUCCUCCUCACAGAAGCCUGGAGCUGGGCAUCCAAGAAGAAGCAGCCUCAUUUGUUUUCUGGUGUCAUCGUAGGUGGCCACCUAUGGCUUUUGGGCUUCUCACCUGGGGCGGGUGGGUUCUGCACCACCCUCCCACCCUCCUUCCUCCGUGUGGACGAUAGAGCCACAUCCAGCACCACGGACAGCUCCCGGGCGACCAAAAAGAAGAAUGUACUUCAUCUGGUUGGGCUGGAUUCCCUCUGAUAAGCCUUCCCAGUUGACUGAAAGAUGAGGCUAGGCUCUAGCAAGUUGAAGUCAAACCAGCUCCUUCAAGAAGCUUUGAGCAGAAUGAAGUGGGGAGGACCCAGCUUCCAGCCUAGGAAGCCCACUGUACCUGGAGCCAUCUGGGAUAAGACUUUGACCCAUGACUCCCAUAUCCACAACCUGUCCAUCCUAGCCCAUCCCAGUUUAUCCUGUAUCAUUUGAGCUGGGAUUCCCACAUCCUCUGAGAUGGAAGUCCCAUCUCAAAUCUUCAAUAAAGACUCUUGAAUAUUGAGUCACA
This 725-nucleotide small RNA is filed under the name Pan troglodytes (chimpanzee). Its description in RNAcentral is "processed transcript". Lineage: Eukaryota; Metazoa; Chordata; Mammalia; Primates; Hominidae. The record is from RNAcentral.